RNAcentral lists this ribosomal RNA (156 nucleotides) under uncultured bacterium. RNAcentral describes it as "partial 16S ribosomal RNA". It matches the Rfam family "Bacterial small subunit ribosomal RNA", at positions 118 to 291 of the family's 1533-position model. The record is from RNAcentral.
UGGGAACGUACCCUUUGGUUCGGGACAACUCCGGGAAACUGGAGCUAAUACCGGAUAAGCCCUAUGGGGGAAAGAUUUAUCGCCGAAGGAUCGGCCCGCGUCGGAUUAGCUAGUUGGUGGGGUAAAAGCCUACCAAGGCGACGAUCCGUAGCUGGU